Molecule: ribosomal RNA, 169 nt
Filed under: uncultured bacterium
Lineage: Bacteria
Description: partial 16S ribosomal RNA
Rfam family: Bacterial small subunit ribosomal RNA
Source: RNAcentral
CCUACGGGAGGCAGCAGUGGGGGAUAUGCACAAUGGAGGAAACUCUGAUGCAGCAACGCCGCGUGAGGGAAGACGGUUUUCGGAUUGUAAACCUUUGUCCUUGGUGACGAUAAUGACGGUAGCCGAGGAGGAAGCUCCGGCUAACUACGUGCCAGCAGCCGCGGUAAUA